ACCUGGAUAGCUCAGUCGGUAGAGCAUGAGACUCUUAAUCUCAGGCUUAGGGGUUCGAGCCCCAUGUUGGGCA
Podarcis lilfordi (Lilford's wall lizard) is the source of this 73-nucleotide non-coding RNA. The record is from the annotation of a GenBank genome assembly. Lineage: Eukaryota; Metazoa; Chordata; Lepidosauria; Squamata; Lacertidae.